UACGAGGGGGGCAAAUGUUGUUCGGAAUCACUGGGCGUAAAGGGCUCGUAGGCGGCCAACUAAGUCAGACGUGAAAUCCCUCGGCUUAACCGGGGAACUGCGUCUGAUACUGGAUGGCUUGAGAUUGGGAGAGGGAUGCGGAAUUCCAGGUGUAGCGGUGAAAUGCGUAGAUAUCUGGAGGAACACCGGUGGCGAAGGCGGCAUCCUGGACCGACACUGACGCUGAGGAGCGAAAGCCAGGGGAGCAAACGGG
Molecule: ribosomal RNA, 253 nt
Filed under: uncultured bacterium
Lineage: Bacteria
Description: partial 16S ribosomal RNA
Rfam family: Bacterial small subunit ribosomal RNA
Source: RNAcentral